This 253-nucleotide ribosomal RNA is filed under the name uncultured bacterium. RNAcentral describes it as "partial 16S ribosomal RNA". It matches the Rfam family "Bacterial small subunit ribosomal RNA", at positions 524 to 776 of the family's 1533-position model. The record is from RNAcentral.
UACGUAGGUGGCAAGCGUUAUCCGGAUUCACUGGGCGUAAAGAGCGCGUAGGUGGUUCUGUAAGUCAGGUGUGAAAUUCCCCGGCUUAACCAGGGAAAGCCAUCUGAUACUGCUGGACUUGAGGGCGGUAGAGGGAGGUGGAAUUCCCGGUGUAGUGGUGAAAUGCGUAGAUAUCGGGAGGAACACCAGUGGCGAAGGCGGCCUCCUGGGCCGUUCCUGACACUGAGGCGCGAAAGCGUGGGGAGCGAACAGG